UAAGCGGUGGAAAAUGAACCAAAUGGGAUUCCUUAAGUAAUUGCGAAUGAACAAGGAACUGCUCAGCUUGAAAAUUGGGGCCUUCGGCCUUGAAUUGUAAUUUUGAAAUGUAUUGCCAAUGGAGGCGCAGGUGCAAGCCUAUUGAAAGAAAGCGUCAAUGAGGGUGAGAUUCCUUUUUGUCAUUUGCAGUCCUCCGUGCACGGUAUAUAUUUGACGAGUCACACUCCUUGGCAUUGGAAUGCAAAGUGGGUGGUAAAUUCCAUGUAAAGGAAAAUAUAUUAUUGAGACUGAUAGCAAACAAGUACCAUGAGGGAAAUAUGAAAAGGACUUUGAAAAGAGAAUUAAAAGAGUCUGCAUUUGCUGAACAGAAAGCAAACAGAAUUGAUCUACUUGGUGAGAUUGUUGCGUCCACUUGUGGGCGCAAUGGUUCUUGCCUUGAAUGUCAGCGUCUACUUCUGCAAAUUAUUACCCUUGCAUAUGAAUGGUAAUUUGCCUGUGGGCAUUGGAAUGCAUGUGUUUGCAAUGAUUUGUGAUUUGAUACAUGUGUCUGGUGUUCGUGUGUGUGCCUUCUUGCCAACAAGGGGAGGGCUCUCCUCCCUGGGCACUGCAAGCCCUUGCACAUUGUUGCUGGCAAAAUGUUUCUGCUUGACCCG
RNAcentral lists this ribosomal RNA (653 nucleotides) under Alexandrium ostenfeldii. RNAcentral's name for it is "LSU rRNA". It matches the Rfam family "Eukaryotic large subunit ribosomal RNA", at positions 47 to 651 of the family's 3401-position model. The record is from RNAcentral. Lineage: Eukaryota; Dinophyceae; Gonyaulacales; Pyrocystaceae.